UACGUAGGGGGCAAGCGUUAUCCGGAUUUACUGGGUGUAAAGGGAGCGUAGGUGGCAUGGCAAGCCAGAAGUGAAAACCCGGGGCUUAACCCCGCGGACUGCUUUUGGAACUGUCAGGCUGGAGUGCAGGAGGGGCAGGCGGAAUUCCUAGUGUAGCGGUGAAAUGCGUAGAUAUUAGGAGGAACACCAGUGGCGAAGGCGGCCUGCUGGGCUUUUACUGACGCUGAGGCUCGAAAGUGUGGGGAGCAAACAGG
Molecule: ribosomal RNA, 254 nt
Filed under: uncultured Eubacteriales bacterium
Lineage: Bacteria; Bacillati; Bacillota; Clostridia; Eubacteriales
Description: uncultured Clostridiales bacterium partial 16S ribosomal RNA
Rfam family: Bacterial small subunit ribosomal RNA
Source: RNAcentral